Molecule: ribosomal RNA, 388 nt
Filed under: uncultured bacterium
Lineage: Bacteria
Description: partial 16S ribosomal RNA
Rfam family: Bacterial small subunit ribosomal RNA
Source: RNAcentral
AUACAUAGGGGGCAAGCGUUAUCCGGAAUUAUUGGGCGUAAAGGGUGCGUAGGCGGCCAUUUAAGUUUGAGGUGUAAGUUCAAGGCUCAACCUUGUGAUGCUUCAAAAACUGGAUGGCUUGAGAGAGGUAGAGGAAAGUGGAAUUCCAUGUGUAGCGGUAAAAUGCGUAAAUAUAUGGAGGAACACCAGUGGCGAAGGCGGCUUGCUGGGCCUUAUCGGACGCUGAGGCACGAAAGCGUGGGGAGCAAACAGGAUUAGAUACCCUGGUAGUCCACGCCGUAAACGAUGAGUACUAAGUGUCGGGAGAACCCGGUGCUGCAGUUAACGCAUUAAGUACUCCGCCUGAGUAGUACGUGCGCAAGCAUAAAACUCAAAUGAAUUGACGGGG